GACUGUGAUGUUUAAGAAAAUCAACGCAGUUUUCCGUCCGAACCACCUUGGACCUCGCUCACGGGACCGGUUCAGGCCCAAUGAGGACUACCACAGCGCGUGCACCGUCAAACUGGUCCGGAGCACGUCGAUGCUCGUGGUGGGGGAGAGCAGUCGCGCGCCGCAGGACUCCACGCUGAAGCGGAGCGUGAGUGCCGUGAGUGUUGAGACCAGCACGGCCCUGUACUACUACCAGAGCCGAGAGGACCGCGUGUGGCUCUACUCCCAGAACCAGAACUGCUUAGAGUACUUACAGGAACUGGUCGCGCUCAGGCGGCAGUACACCAAGAGCAUCAACGACCUCAAGAACAGCGAGCGCAAAGAGACCGCGUCCCGCAAGAAGAACCCCGCACCCCGACCACCGCAAAACAGAGCUGCACAGACUUCAAGGCCUGAACCAUCUGCUCCACCAAUCCCAAAUGAGGAAGACACACUCCAGUUCUUUGAUGCAGUCAUUGCAAGCUGUGAUCCAGACCCCAGUCGAAAACCACAUGUGGACAGUGGGCAUGCAGAUGUAGACUUCAUAGUGGCAACCAGUACCAGCGAGCAUGACCUUCACUCUAACUGGGUGCUUCGGGAUCCUCGUCGAAUCUCCAUGACGGAGUCACAGCCCAAGAAUUCAGAUAUCAGUCACGGGCAGGCAGCCCAGCGGAAGGGGGACAUGGGAAGCACAGGCAGUAGGAGAUGUCUGCAACAAAACCCAAUCCACCUGCCAAAAGUUGUGGAGAGUGCCUUUCAGACUCUGCGCUUCAAACCCAAGCUCAAGAAGAAAGAAUAGCUGCUUAAGCUGUUCCGCCUGUUGUGCCCAGAGGACAACUAAAACUUCACAGCUGUGCGAUCAAGAAGUUGGAC
This is a long non-coding RNA of Cyprinus carpio carpio, 891 nucleotides long. Lineage: Eukaryota; Metazoa; Chordata; Actinopteri; Cypriniformes; Cyprinidae. The record is from Ensembl.